RNAcentral lists this ribosomal RNA (253 nucleotides) under uncultured bacterium. RNAcentral's name for it is "partial 16S ribosomal RNA". It matches the Rfam family "Bacterial small subunit ribosomal RNA", at positions 524 to 776 of the family's 1533-position model. The record is from RNAcentral.
UACAGAGGGUGCGAGCGUUAAUCGGAAUUACUGGGCGUAAAGCGCGCGUAGACGGUUUUGUAAGUCGGGUGUGAAAUCCCUGGGCUCAACCUGGGAACUGCAUUCGAGACUGCAUUGCUAGAGUACGGAAGAGGGAAGCGGAAUUUCCGGUGUAGCGGUGAAAUGCGUAGAUAUCGGAAGGAACACCAGUGGCGAAAGCGGCUUCCUGGUCCAAUACUGACGUUCAUGUGCGAAAGCGUGGGGAGCAAACAGG